GAUGAACGCUGGCGGCGUGCCUAAUACAUGCAAGUCGAGCGAACAGACGAGGAGCUUGCUCCUCUGACGUUAGCGGCGGACGGGUGAGUAACACGUGGAUAACCUACCUAUAAGACUGGGAUAACUUCGGGAAACCGGAGCUAAUACCGGAUAAUAUAUUGAACCGCAUGGUUCAAUAGUGAAAGACGGUUUUGCUGUCACUUAUAGAUGGAUCCGCGCCGCAUUAGCUAGUUGGUAAGGUAACGGCUUACCAAGGCAACGAUGCGUAGCCGACCUGAGAGGAUGAUCAGCCACACGGGAACUGAGACACGGUCCAGACUCCUACGGGAGGCAGCAGUGGGGAAUCUUGCACAAUGGGCGAAAGCCUGACGGAGCAAUGCCGCGUGAGUGAAGAAGGCCGUCGGAUCGUAAAGCCCUGUUAUUGGGAAAGAAAAAAAGUGGAAGUAACUACGCACGUCUUGACGGUACCUAAAGAGAAAGCAACGGCUAACUACGUG
Molecule: ribosomal RNA, 497 nt
Filed under: uncultured bacterium
Lineage: Bacteria
Description: partial 16S ribosomal RNA
Rfam family: Bacterial small subunit ribosomal RNA
Source: RNAcentral